CUACGAGUCGCACCAGUGAGGAAUAUUGCACAAUGGGGGGAACCCUGAUGCAGCAACGCCGCGUGGAGGAUGACGCAUUUCGGUGUGUAAACUCCUUUUAUAUGUCAAGGAAAUGACGGUAGCAUAUGAAUAAGCACCGGCUAACUCCGUGCCAGCAGCCGCGGUAAUACGGAGGGUGCAAGCGUUACUCGGAAUCACUGGGCGUAAAGGACGCGUAGGCGGGUUGGAAAGUCAGGUGUGAAAUCCUACAGCUUAACUGUAGAACUGCACUUGAAACUUCUAAUCUAGAGUAUGGGAGGGGGAGAUGGAAUUAGUGGUGUAGGGGUAAAAUCCGUAGAUAUCACUAGGAAUACCUAAAGCGAAGGCGAUCUCCUGGAACAUUACUGACGCUAAGGCGUGAAAGCGUGGGGAGCAAACAGGAUUAGAAACCCCCGUAGUC
RNAcentral lists this ribosomal RNA (439 nucleotides) under uncultured bacterium. RNAcentral describes it as "partial 16S ribosomal RNA". It matches the Rfam family "Bacterial small subunit ribosomal RNA", at positions 339 to 795 of the family's 1533-position model. The record is from RNAcentral.